GAUGAACGCUGGCGACGUGCCUAAUACAUGCAAGUCGAGCGAACAGACGAGGAGCUUGCUCCUCUGACGUUAGCGGCGGACGGGUGAGUAACACGUGGAUAACCUACCUAUAAGACUGGGAUAACUUCGGGAAACCGGAGCUAAUACCGGAUAACAUGUUGAACCGCAUGGUUCAACAGUGAAAGACGGUUUUGCUGUCACUUAUAGAUGGAUCCGCGCCGCAUUAGCUAGUUGGUAAGGUAACGGCUUACCAAGGCAACGAUGCGUAGCCGACCUGAGAGGGUGAUCGGCCACCCUGGAACUGAGACACGGCCCAGACUCCUACGGGAGGCAGCAGUAGGGAAUCUUACGCAAUGGGCGAAAGCCUGACGGAGCAACGCCGCGUGAGUGAAGAAGGUCUUCGGAUCGUAAAACUCUAUUAUUAGGGAAGAACAAAUGUGUAAGUAACUAUGCACGUCUUGACGGUACCUAAUCAGAAAGCCACGGCUAACUACGUG
RNAcentral lists this ribosomal RNA (497 nucleotides) under uncultured bacterium. RNAcentral's name for it is "partial 16S ribosomal RNA". It matches the Rfam family "Bacterial small subunit ribosomal RNA", at positions 28 to 507 of the family's 1533-position model. The record is from RNAcentral.